AGUAUACAACCACCAUUACUCCCGCUAGAUAGCUACCCCUUUCUAUCUUUCUACAACCUCGUGGACAGACGAAAGAAGGGAAGUUACAGAACGGAGCAGUGAAGGCUCGCAAAGUAGACAACAAGCAACCUCUAAAUUGAAGAACGAGCUCCCGCUUAAUUGCAAAGUAGGCCCUUUUUAAGGGUAGAUGAAUCAGAACCACUAGGAGGACAUCAAGCAGAUUACAGACAGAGAUUGGGAUAUUUCUCUGAAACUCCUGAAAAUGGGAACUGAAUGCAGCUUUGGAAGACAUUGAUUUGUUGAUUUAUAUCAUUCAUCACAUUAAAGUUGAACAAAAAUCUGAGAUUGAAUCCAAUUUUUGUGCGAAAGAUUCAUCUUGGAUGACAAUCCAAUAAUUGCAGACUUGUCUGAUCACCUCCAUAUAAAGAUUCCACAGCUUGAGAAAGUAGGCAAUGUUUAGCUUCUUCUACAAACCCAUUGCAACUUCACAUGCAGCUAGUAUCCCCUGGAUGACGCCAGCAAGUCCCCAGCAUAUAUUAUUAGGCUUUCAAGUAAACGUUCCAUUUCCAACAAUACCAGCGAAACAGUGUAUUUCUUUCUCCCGAUGUGGAAGAAUGUUUGAAUGAGGGAGAAAAACACUAAUAAAAGUUUUAUUCACUGCAAAGAACAUGAAUGAAAAAUUGCAUAUUCUCAACAGCAGUCUAAUCACAUGCACUUCCUACUAUAAUCAACAAAAAUACAAAUUGAAAAUCAUGCACAGAGAAAUGGCAUCAAAGUUUCCGAGAUGGUUCUUCAGCUUUCGCAGCUUUCAGCUUAAUCACAGGUUAUAUUCCACAAAGUUUCUUUUUCCCCUAUAAUGGAGAAACAAAUAUGCGAGAUGCAAACUGUACCCUUUAUGGUGGAAUGACGUUGUUCUCAUAAUCUAGAUGAAGCCUCCAGCCAAUAAAAAAGGUGUUUGAAGUACCCUAUGUGAUGAAUCAGACCACCGUGCACCGCCAAAUAUAUAUGUGUACUCAGUUUCAUUUGCAUAGCUUUCCCCAGUUACAACAAACCUACAGUUAGAAAAAGAGAUCAUCACUAAUACCUUGACCAUUUUAGAACUCGCAGCUUGAAUUAAAAACUAGAUUAAAGAAGACAUCCAGAAACUUGGUUUAGAUAUCAUUACAAGCACAACUUUUUAAGAAUUGCAUUUUAAGAGAAUCGUGCGUAACAGUUAGAAGUUGUGAAACAUACCAUGGGUUCAAAAGCUGUUCUAACCUAACAGUUAAAAAUAUUACCAUAAACCGUAAACCAUAUCUAAAAUUUAAUUACAGGGCAACAACUUUUUGCAGUGGUAAUGCAGACAAGUUAAAAACAGAGUUAUUGAAUUUUAUAAUUUUUUUUAAUUUGAAAAAAUAUUAUCAUCAAGAAAAAUAUAUUAGUUUCUUUGUUCUGUAAACAAUUAAUCCUAUGCAGUGGAAAAAGCAGACAAGUUCAAACUAAAAUUGUUCAAUGGUAUUGUAAUGGUCCAAACGUUGGGAGCUCGUCGUGGCAUUUCCAAGAAAUUUUAAAGAUUUUGCAAAUGGCAUGUAUUUGAUGUAGCCAGGCAGCUUUGAGAAACAUUGGGACCACUCUUACUAAACUGGAGUCAAAAGGAAUUAGCAUAUUGCUCACCUAAUGCCAAGGCAUAUUCCUUCAACUUCUAGAGCCAGAGCAGCAACAUGAUCAAAACAAUCCACUGAAAGAUGAAAAUUACAGGAAAAUAUCAGCACUACAAGUAUGUUCCACAGCCGUCAAAGGAUUACAUACUUAACAAAUACAUAAGAUAGAGGAGACCAGUUUUUCUAAUAUAAGUCAAAUGACAGAAAUCAGGAUUACUUGCAUAAAAUGCUAGAUGCUGUGAACAUGCUUCCUUAAGCACCACCAAGUCAAUCUCGCUAUUAACUCUCAACAAGACUUGAGUCACUUGACAAUACUUGCGAACUUAAAGCUAGGAACAAGAGUCUGAACAUAUAAGCAAGGACUUAAAAGAUGCUAUUGGAGUUCUGGUGUCAUGGAGACAAAUACUGAUAGUGCAACACGAGGCAAUCCAGGCGCUGCUGGAUGGGGAGCUAUUUCUAGAAACAGUAGCAAUGAACUUAAAUGUGUCUGAAUUCGUAGUUUAGGG
This 2146-nucleotide long non-coding RNA is filed under the name Aquilegia coerulea. RNAcentral describes it as "long non-coding RNA (ACOE_LNC002349)". Lineage: Eukaryota; Viridiplantae; Streptophyta; Magnoliopsida; Ranunculales; Ranunculaceae. The record is from RNAcentral.